Molecule: ribosomal RNA, 854 nt
Filed under: uncultured Chloroflexota bacterium
Lineage: Bacteria; Bacillati; Chloroflexota
Description: bacterial SSU rRNA
Rfam family: Bacterial small subunit ribosomal RNA
Source: RNAcentral
GGAUGGCGGGUCUACCAUGCAGUCGACGGGUGCUUGGGGAAACUUGAGCGCUAGUGGCAAACGGGUGAGUAACACGUGGGUGACCUACCUCAGAGUGGGGAACAACAGACCGAAAGGUUUGCUAAUACCGCAUUAGCUUGAUGAUUCGUUUUGUCAAGUAAAGGCGCAAGUCGCUCUGAGAGGGGCCCGCGUCCCAUCAGGUAGUUGGUGAGGUAAUGGCCCACCAAGCCGAUGACGGGUAGCUGUUCUGAGAGGAAGAUCAGCCACAAUGGAACUGAGACACGGUCCAUACUCCUACGGGAGGCAGCAGUGAGGAAUAUUGCACAAUGGACGAAAGUCUGAUGCAGCGACGCCGCGUGGGCGACGAAGGCCUUCGGGUCGUAAAGCCCUUUUGGCAGGGACGAGUGAGGACGGUACCUGCAGAAUAAGUCUCGGCUAACUACGUGCCAGCAGCCGCGGUAAAACGUAGGAGGCGAGCGUUAUCCGGAUUUACUGGGCGUAAAGCGCGCGUAGGCGGUUGGGUAAGUCAGAUGUUAAAGCCCCUGGCUCAACUGGGGGAGGUCAUUUGAUACUGCUCGGCUUGAGGGUGAUAGAGGAGAGUGGAAUUCCCGGUGUAGCGGUGGAAUGCGUAGAGAUCGGGAGGAACGCCAGUGGCGAAAGCGACUCUCUGGCUCACCCCUGACGCUGAGUGCGCGAAAGCGUGGGUAGCAAACGGGAUUAGAUACCCCGGUAGUCCACGCCCUAAACGAUGAGAGCUGGGUGUCGGCAGGGUUUCCUGUCGGUGCCGAAGCUAACGCGUUAAGCUCUCCGCCUGGGGACUACGAACGCAAGUUUAAAACUCAAAGGAAUUGACG